ACACAAUAUUUCAACUGUGUCUGAAUAUUUUCUACAGGUUCUACUGUUUCUACAGGUCAAUAAUAAUUUCCUCCUUAUUUUUAGGUUGUUUACAUCUACUUGUAGUGGUGAGGAACUGAUAUGUCAUCUUCAAAGAUUCAGUAUCCUCCACAGAGAAGUGGUGGUAUGAUGACAGGACAUUAGCGAAUUAUGGAGGUUUUCAUAACAAUCAAAGAUCAUUUCGUGACAACCAACAUCCAGAUUGGCUUUCAAUUCCAGAUAAUUUUUAAAGGAAUUGAUUUCAGAUUCCACCAGCUGUAGUGAUAGGAGUUCAACCCACAUGCCCCGGACGUUAGCCUGGGCCAUGAAUCCAGAGUCGUUAUCACUUGACCAUCAGCUCCCAAUUAUACAAAUGCUGAGGGUUCACAGUUUUGCUACACAAAUGCAUACAGACUGACUCAUCUCAUCCUAAGGUUAGCUGGGGACCAGGCUAAGACUCAGUACAACUCCCACCUCCCAUCGACACAAAAUUAAUGUUGGCAGAGAACUACAAGUCCUAUCAGAUUUUCAUUCCCAACCAUGAAAGGAAGUGUUCCAUCAUGAUAAAACAGCAGCCAAUUGUAAAUUGGCCACAAAACAUCUUGAGUUAGCCGGCUGAAGACCUGCAGACUCCUUUCACAAAUCCUGUACCGUACUGCUGGGAGGAAUUGGAUCAUUCAAAACAAGUUGGCCACUUAAGUGGAAAUUGACACUACAGUGAAGAACUGCAGGAACCUGUUUGUUGCUUGCAAAGUGAAACACUAAUCUUUCAAAUUUAGCUGUACCGUCUUUGUGUCAGGAGAAGGAAAAUAGUUUGAAUGCAAGUUUGUACCUCAAGUCAAUGGAAGACACAUGCUGAAAUGAUAAAAUGAAAUUUGUGAAACCACUCAGUGGCAGAAAAUCGUUUUCUUUCUCUCAUGGAUUUCAACCAUUUUCUUGGUCUCAUUUAUUUUUCCCAACAGCUUUCCAAAUGAAAAACUUCCAUCCACACGAAAAAUUGUCAGCCUUAAUCUGAAUUUGAGUUUUCUGUAGAGAUCUAACAAAAUGUAAUUUCACGACCGAGCAUUCACAACAAGUGCGAAUACAGUGACAAUUAUUUUCUGGAAGAUUAGAAACAUGAACUAAUGUGGUCAAAAAUAACAGCAACAGGAAGGAAAUGCUCAUUUUUGUCUGCAAGGAAUGCACGUUUGGACAGGAAACCUAACUUGUUUACAUCAGCAAUAUAUUUUAUCAAAUUGGCUUUUCAAAAUAGUGUGCAUAAUUAAACUGUGACAUUUGAGAGCUUAUGAAGAAAAUGAUUUUAAAGCUGCAGUUUUAAGGAAGGCAUUCCUUUAGAUUAGAGCAUUAGAACUUAAAGAAAAAUGUCUGUGACUAAACUACCAACCUUAAAACAUUUAUAAGAGGAAAUAUUUUAAAUACAUGAUUUGAUGUGCAUCGGAGGAACAAAAGAUUGCUGCCCUUUCCCUCCAGAGGUUCUAUUUUCAGUUUGCUGUAGGUGGAGCAGAAAGCAAUUGCUUUCUCAUAGAAUCACGUGUUUAAUUCCGAAAAAAAAGUGAGCAUGUGCCAAUGCCACUUCCACUAGAGCUGGCUUUGUGUAAUAUCAUUUUCCUCCCCUUGUAUUCUUGUACUCAUUAACUUACAAAUAUCUUUAAAAUUUAUUAUUAAAUCUUUUAAUAAUCUGUCUCAGAUAUGACUUUCUGUAAAGCAUAAUAUGUUAUAAGGAAUACAGGUACUCGGUGUAAAAAAUUUUCUUCAAAGUAUUUUCUUUAUUCUUUUUAUGGUAAUCCUAUUUUUGACCAAUUUGCUGCAAUUGAAAACCAUGAGUGGAAUUAAUUGCUUUCUUGAGCAACAUGGGCAGUGGCAAGAAUGUUAGAAAAUAUGGCGAAAUUGCCUGAUUUGUGUGAAACUUAAAUGUUUUCUGCCUGUCAGUCCAAGUCUGGAUGUCAUGCAAAGGACUUCUUUUCAGAGGUUUAAACUUUUGUUUACAAGAAGCAUUAACAACGCCGGCUGCAGAAUUCCUGGAAAUUUCAUCACAUGGCAUCUGGGCUGUUCUGACCAGGCAACUGCCCUUCCAAUAUCUUUCGAACUAAUAAAUGAGUGUUCAAAGAAAAUUAUUAAAAACUUUAAUGCACCUACAAA
Non-coding RNA from Chiloscyllium plagiosum (whitespotted bambooshark), 2157 nucleotides. The record is from RefSeq and is a predicted model, not a curated record. NCBI's taxonomy places the organism in Eukaryota, Metazoa, Chordata, Chondrichthyes, Orectolobiformes, Hemiscylliidae.